RNAcentral lists this unclassified non-coding RNA (328 nucleotides) under soil metagenome. RNAcentral's name for it is "partial contains 5.8S ribosomal RNA, internal transcribed spacer 2, and large subunit ribosomal RNA". The stretch from base 1 to 119 matches the Rfam family "5.8S ribosomal RNA", at positions 35 to 154 of the family's 154-position model. The record is from RNAcentral.
GAUGAAGACGCAGCGAAAUGCGAUAAGUAAUGUGAAUUGCAGAAUUCAGUGAAUCAUCGAAUCUUUGAACGCACAUUGCGCCCCUUGGUAUUCCGAGGGGCAUGCCUGUUCGAGCGUCAUUAUAACCCCUCAAGCUCAGCUUGGUGUUGGGGCCUGCUGCACUGGCAGCCCUUAAAAUCAGUGGCGGCGCCAUCUGGCUCUAAGCGUAGUAAUUCUUCUCGCUAUGGAGUCCUGGUGGAUGCUUGCCAUCAACCCCCAAUUUUUCUAUGGUUGACCUCGGAUCAGGUAGGGAUACCCGCUGAACUUAAGCAUAUCAAUAAGCGGAGGA